Molecule: ribosomal RNA, 1733 nt
Filed under: Tolongia pilosa
Lineage: Eukaryota; Metazoa; Arthropoda; Insecta; Hemiptera; Miridae
Description: SSU rRNA
Rfam family: Eukaryotic small subunit ribosomal RNA
Source: RNAcentral
UCAGUAAACCAGUCAUGAUUCACUCGAGUAUACAUGACUGUCUUUGGAUAACUGUGGUAAUCCUAGAGCUAAUACAUGCAAUCAAGUCCCGACCAGUCUGACUGGGAAGGACGCUUUUAUUAGAUCAAGACCAAUCGCCCGGUUCGUCCGGGCGUUGCCUUGGUGACUCUAGGUAACACAUCAGAUCGCACGGUCCUCGCACCGGCGACUUAUCCUUCAAAUGCCUGACUUAUCAACUGUCGAUGGUAGACUCUAUGUCUACCAUGGUUGUAACGGGUAACGGGGAAUCAGGGUUCGAUUCCGGAGAGGGAGCCUGAGAAACGGCUACCACAUCCAAGGAAGGCAGCAGGCACGCAAAUUACCCACUCCCGGCACGGGGAGGUAGUGACAAAAAAUAACGAUACGGGACUCUUUUGAGGCCCCGUAAUCGGAAUGAGUACACUUUAAAUCCUUUAACAAGGAUCCAUUGAAGGGCAAGUCUGGUGCCAGCAGCCGCGGUAAUUCCAGCUUCAAUAGCGUAUAUUAAAGUUGUUGCGGUUAAAAAGCUCGUAGUUGGUUCUGCGUGCCACGCUGUCGGUUCGCCGCCUGCCGGUGUAACUGGCAUGCCGUGGCAUGUCCUGUCGGUGGCGUUCGGGAGCCUCGUCUAGGCGACGGCCCUUGCCUAAAGCUUGGUGUCCGGAGGCCGGUGGUAUACCCGUUCGCCUACUCUAUCCUACCUAGGUGCUCUUCACCGAGUGUCGAGGUAGGCCGACACGUUUACUUUGAACAAAUUAGAGUGCUCAAAGCAGGCUGAAAUCUCUGCCUGAAUAGUGGUGCAUGGAAUAAUAAAACAGGACCUUGGUUCUAUUUUGUUGGUUCUUAGGAACACAAGGUAAUGAUCAAUACGGACAGGCGGGGGCAUUCGUAUUGCGACGUUAGAGGUGAAAUUCCUUGGAUCGUCGCAAGACGCACAAGAGCGAAAGCAGCCAGCCAGCGAUCCGCCGAUGUUCCUCCGAUGACUCGGCGGGGAGCUUCUUCCCGGGAAACCAAAGCUUUUGGGUUCCGGGGGAAGUAUGGUUGCAAAGCUGAAACUUAAAGGAAUUGACGGAAGGGCACCACCAGGAGUGGAGCCUGCGGCUUAAUUUGACUCAACACGGGAAACCUCACCAGGCCAGGACAUUGGAAGGAUUGACAGAUUGAUAGCUCUUUCUUGAUUCAGUGGGUAGUGGUGCAUGGCCGUUCUUAGUUGGUGGAUCGAUUUGUCUGGUUAAUUCCGAUAACGAACGAGACUCUAGCCUAUUAACUAGGCGUUUUCCGGUGCCCCCGUCACCGGCGACAAUCAUUCUUCUUAAGGGGACAGGCGGCUUAUAGCCGCACGAGAUUGAGCAAUAACAGGUCUGUGAUGCCCUUAGAUGUCCUGGGCCGCACGCGCGCUACACUGAAGGAAUCAGCGUGUACCUCCCUGACCGAAAGGUCCGGGUAAUCCGCUGAACCUCCUGCGUGCUAGGAAUUGGGGCUUGCAAUUGUUCCCCAUGAACGAGGAAUUCCCAGUAAGCGCGAGUCAUAAGCUCGCGUUGAUUACGUCCCUGCCCUUUGUACACACCGCCCGUCGCUACUACCGAUUGAAUGAUUUAGUGAGGUCUUCGGACUGGCGGUAAUCACUGCUGACUUGUUGGUAGCGAUGAACGCUGGAAAGAUGACCAAACUUGAUCAUUUAGAGGAAGUAAAAGUCGUAACAAGGUUUCCGUAGGUGA